This 253-nucleotide ribosomal RNA is filed under the name uncultured bacterium. Its description in RNAcentral is "partial 16S ribosomal RNA". It matches the Rfam family "Bacterial small subunit ribosomal RNA", at positions 524 to 776 of the family's 1533-position model. The record is from RNAcentral.
UACGUAGGGGGCAAGCGUUGUCCGGAUUUAUUGGGCGUAAAGAGCGUGUAGGCGGCUUGGUAGGUCUGCUGUGAAAACUCGAGGCUCAACCUCGAGCUGUCGGCGGAAACCACUUGGCUAGAGUCCGGAAGAGGAGAGUGGAAUUCCUGGUGUAGCGGUGAAAUGCGCAGAUAUCAGGAGGAACACCGAUGGCGAAGGCAGUGGUCUGGGCCGGUACUGACGCUGAAUAGCGAAAGCGUGGGGAGCGAACAGG